RNAcentral lists this ribosomal RNA (253 nucleotides) under uncultured bacterium. RNAcentral describes it as "partial 16S ribosomal RNA". It matches the Rfam family "Bacterial small subunit ribosomal RNA", at positions 524 to 776 of the family's 1533-position model. The record is from RNAcentral.
UACGAAGGGGGCUAGCGUUGCUCGGAAUCACUGGGCGUAAAGCGCACGUAGGCGGCUUCCUAAGUCAGGGGUGAAAUCCUGGAGCUCAACUCCAGAACUGCCUUUGAUACUGGAGAGCUUGAGUCCGGGAGAGGUGAGUGGAACUCCGAGUGUAGAGGUGAAAUUCGUAGAUAUUCGGAAGAACACCAGUGGCGAAGGCGGCUCACUGGCCCGGUACUGACGCUGAGGUGCGAAAGCGUGGGGAGCAAACAGG